GCCAGUUUGGCCUAGUGGUUAAGGCAGCAGUCUAGAAAACUGGAGGCUGUGUGUUUAAGUCCCGCUUUAGCCA
This 73-nucleotide transfer RNA is filed under the name Ophiophagus hannah (king cobra). It matches the Rfam family "tRNA". From Rfam's summary of the family: Transfer RNA (tRNA) molecules are approximately 80 nucleotides in length. Their secondary structure includes four short double-helical elements and three loops (D, anti-codon, and T loops). Lineage: Eukaryota; Metazoa; Chordata; Lepidosauria; Squamata; Elapidae. The record is from Rfam by way of RNAcentral.